This 484-nucleotide ribosomal RNA is filed under the name uncultured bacterium. RNAcentral describes it as "partial 16S ribosomal RNA". It matches the Rfam family "Bacterial small subunit ribosomal RNA", at positions 30 to 507 of the family's 1533-position model. The record is from RNAcentral.
AUUGAACGCUGGCGGCAGGCCUAACACAUGCAAGUCGAGCGGAUGAAGGGAGCUUGCUCCUGGAUUCAGCGGCGGACGGGUGAGUAAUGCCUAGGAAUCUGCCUGGUAGUGGGGGAUAACGUCCGGAAACGGGCGCUAAUACCGCAUACGUCCUGAGGGAGAAAGUGGGGGAUCUUCGGACCUCACGCUAUCAGAUGAGCCUAGGUCGGAUUAGCUAGUUGGUGGGGUAAAGGCCUACCAAGGCGACGAUCCGUAACUAGUCUGAGAGGAUGAUCAGUCACACUGGAACUGAGACACGGUCCAGGCUCCUACGGGAGGCAGCAGUGGGGAAUAUUGGACAAUGGGCGAAAGCCUGAUCCAGCCAUACCGCGUGUGUGAAGAAGGUCUUCGGAUUGUAAAGCACUUUAAGUUGGGAGGAAGGGCAGUAAGUUAAUACCUUGCUGUUUUGACGUUACCAACAGAAUAAGCACCGGCUAACUUCGUG